Molecule: long non-coding RNA, 1109 nt
Organism: Hippoglossus stenolepis (Pacific halibut)
Lineage: Eukaryota; Metazoa; Chordata; Actinopteri; Pleuronectiformes; Pleuronectidae
Exons: 3
Source: RefSeq, a predicted model, not a curated record
UUAGGGCCACUCAGUGGACCCCUCAGUACACAGCACAGCACAGCAGUCAUACGAGGUGGUACAGGAAGAGGAUGAUGUGUGUACGGGUUACCAGGAAACAGAGGUGUGACUUAAGAAGAACAGCAUAUGCAGCCAUGAAAACACACCACAGAUGAUCGUUCCUAAAGUCAGCCAUGAAAGACAACAAGAUGAUCACACUCUUCUACAUAACCUUUAAUAUCGUACUGGUCUCAGGUUCCUCUCUCAGUCACAAAGUCCAGCAGAGUCCAGCUAACAUUUACAAGCAACCAGCAGAAACAGCCAAAAUCAGCUGUUCACACAGUAUUGACAACUACAAUGUAAUCCUCUGGUACAAGCAGAUAAAUAACACACAGCUUCAGCUCCUGGGAUACAUGGUAGUUAACAUGGAAAACCCAGAGCCUGGAUCUGGUGUGAAAAUGGACGGGAGCGCGAAUAAAGAUCAGACGUGCACAUUAACAAUCGAAGGACUGAACCUGAGCAGCAGUGCAGUGUAUUUCUGUGCUGCUAGUUUACACAGUGAAACACAUCAUCUGCUCCUCAGUACAAAAACCUGCACAUGAGGUUCUUUCAUCAGCUGCCAGCCCCUUACACACGCACCCUCCUCUCAUUAGGUGGCAGUAUUUGUACUUUCUGUUACUCUGAACUAUAGCGAGAGUUGAUAUGACAGUUAUAAAGUUGAGAGAAGAGGGAGUUGACUGAUGCAGGAGGUGUAACUGCUGAUGGACUGAAGAAAACACAAUGAUCCACUGCAACAAGGUUUAUCCAAACAGCCAGAGAACACAAAAUGAUUGUCCUAUUUUAUUUCAUCUUCAGCGCGACUUUAAACAAUAUUUUGGUUUCAGGUUCCUCUCUCAGUCACAAAGUCCAGCAGAGUCCAGCUAACAUUUACAAGCAACCAGCAGAAACAGCCAAAAUCAGCUGUUCACACAGUAUUGAAGGCUACAAUCAAAUCUUCUGGUACAAGCAGAUAAAUAACACACAGCUUCAGCUCCUAGGAUACAUGUUUGGAAACAAGGAAUACCCAGAGACUGGAUCUGGUGUGAAAAUGGACGGAGCGCGAAUAAAGAUCAGACGUGCACAUUAACAAU